GGCUAAUUUAUCAACCAUGGACCAGGCUAAUCUACCAACCAUUGACCAGGCUAAUCUACCAACCAUAGACCAUAGGUUGAUGUCUGGCCUUGGGUUCGAUUUUUUACCAAAAAGAAGAAAUUAUGGUCCCUAAAUGAAACAACUCACACGGUAGUGGCCACGGAUGUUAGGGCAAAGAGUGUUUCUCCUGACAUCAUUAUGUGUGGAAGCAGGCUGCUUUAUAAAUUUACAGAUAAACUUUUCCAGUGAUCACGAGAAAAAUACCCAUACAGUGUAUCCAGGACAGAAGUGCUCAAUAAAAACAUUUUAACUGUUCAUGUUAACAAAAUUCUAAUUACUAAAUACCAGUUGA
This is a long non-coding RNA of Patella vulgata (common limpet), 352 nucleotides long. RefSeq lists it as uncharacterized. The transcript is spliced from 3 exons. The record is from RefSeq and is a predicted model, not a curated record. Lineage: Eukaryota; Metazoa; Mollusca; Gastropoda; Patellidae.